Molecule: ribosomal RNA, 450 nt
Filed under: uncultured bacterium
Lineage: Bacteria
Description: partial 16S ribosomal RNA
Rfam family: Bacterial small subunit ribosomal RNA
Source: RNAcentral
AGCGAACGCUGGCGGCAGGCCUAACACAUGCAAGUCGAACGAACCUUUCGGGGUUAGUGGCGGACGGGUGAGUAACACGUGGGAACGUGCCUUUAGGUUCGGAAUAACUCAGGGAAACUUGUGCUAAUACCGAAUGUGCCCUUCGGGGGCAAGAUUUAUCGCCUUUAGAGCGGCCCGCGUCUGAUUAGCUAGUUGGUUGAGGUAAUGGCUCACCAAGGCGACGAUCAGUAGCUGGUCUGCGAGGAUGAUCAGCCACAUUGGGACUGAGACACGGCCCAAACUCCUGCGGGAGGCAGCUGUGGGGAAUCGUGCGCAAUGGGCGAAAGCCUGACGCAGCCAUGCCGCGUGAAUGAUGAAGGUCUUAGGAUUGUAAAAUUCUUUCACCGGGGACGAUAAUGACGGUACCCGGAGAAGAAGCCCCGGCUAACUUCGUGCCAGCCGCCGCCGUAA